RNAcentral lists this ribosomal RNA (417 nucleotides) under Salmonella enterica. Its description in RNAcentral is "bacterial SSU rRNA". It matches the Rfam family "Bacterial small subunit ribosomal RNA", at positions 59 to 472 of the family's 1533-position model. Lineage: Bacteria; Pseudomonadati; Pseudomonadota; Gammaproteobacteria; Enterobacterales; Enterobacteriaceae. The record is from RNAcentral.
AAGUCGAACGGUAACAGGAAGCAGCUUGCUGCUUUGCUGACGAGUGGCGGACGGGUGAGUAAUGUCUGGGAAACUGCCUGAUGGAGGGGGAUAACUACUGGAAACGGUGGCUAAUACCGCAUAACGUCGCAAGACCAAAGAGGGGGACCUUCGGGCCUCUUGCCAUCAGAUGUGCCCAGAUGGGAUUAGCUGGUUGGUGAGGUAACGGCUCACCAAGGCGACGAUCCCUAGCUGGUCUGAGAGGAUGACCAGCCACACUGGAACUGAGACACGGUCCAGACUCCUACGGGAGGCAGCAGUGGGGAAUAUUGCACAAUGGGCGCAAGCCUGAUGCAGCCAUGCCGCGUGUAUGAAGAAGGCCUUCGGGUUGUAAAGUACUUUCAGCGGGGAGGAAGGUGUUGUGGUUAAUAACCGCAG